ACCAAUUGACCCUCUUCAAUCUCAGAGUAAGUGGGUAAAGUUAUCUUUCCCAAACAACCAUCAAACCCCUUCUGGUGAAAUGGUAAAAGCCCUGUUUCGACCCCCUCCACUGCUCUCCAUGAUCUCAUAUUUUCUACCAUAGUGUCUGCAAUGCCUCUUCGAUCCCCGGUAAUUUUCUCCUGGCCUCAGCUCAAUUAUGG
RNAcentral lists this long non-coding RNA (200 nucleotides) under Hordeum vulgare. RNAcentral's name for it is "long non-coding RNA (HVUL_LNC000945)". The record is from RNAcentral. Lineage: Eukaryota; Viridiplantae; Streptophyta; Magnoliopsida; Poales; Poaceae.